AAAUUAGGGAUAUAAAAAAAGAGUACACCCGGUGAAUCGAAAACCCAAAAGGGCGGCUCAGGCAAAAAUGGGUAUCCCGGUGGAUUGAAAACCCGAAAAGGGGGCGAUCCAGGCAAAAGUUAGGGAAUAAGCGAAUGAUUGUGAUCUAAGUUCAUCAGUGUUAUAUCACCGUUUCAUUCAAUCCGGCAAUCUUCGAAGGUUAAAGAUC
This 208-nucleotide long non-coding RNA is filed under the name Lathyrus oleraceus (garden pea). Its description in RNAcentral is "Pisum sativum (pea) long non-coding RNA (PSAT_LNC009393)". Lineage: Eukaryota; Viridiplantae; Streptophyta; Magnoliopsida; Fabales; Fabaceae. The record is from RNAcentral.